AUGGAGGACCCCUGCCUUGGCACCUUCUCCCCAAGGUGCUCUGCACACUUUAAUUCUCUUGCUCUCUCAUCACCCCCUAUGCCCGUCAUCCCUCUAUCCCUCUCACCCCCUAUGCCUGUCAUCCCUCUAUCCCUCUCACUCCCUAUGCCCGUCAUCCCUCUAUCCCUCUCACUCCCUAUGCCCGUCAUCCCUCUAUCCCUCUCACUCCCUAUGCCCAUCAUUCCUCUAUCCCUCACUCCCUAUGCCCGUCAUCACUCUCUCUCAUCACUCCCUAUGCCCGUCAUCACUCUCUCUCAUCACUCCCUAUGCCCGUCAUCCCUCUCACUCCCUAUGCCCGUCAUCCCUCUUUCCCUCUCACUCCCUAUGCCCGUCAUCCCUCUAUCCCUCUCACUCCCUAUGCCCGUCAUCACUCUCUCUCAUCACUCCCUAUGCCCGUCAUCACUCUCUCUCAUCACUCCCUAUGCCCGUCAUCCCUCUCACUCCCAAUGCCCGUCAUCCCUCUCUCUCAUCACUCCCUAUGCCCGUCAUCACUCUCUCUCAUCACUCCCUAUGCCCGUCAUCACUCUAUCCCUCUCAUUCCCUAUGCCCGUCAUCCCUCUAUCCCUCUCACUCCCUAUGCCCGUCAUCACUCUAUCCCUCUCACUCCCUAUGCCCGUCAUCCCUCUCACUCCCUAUGCCCGUCAUCCCUCUAUCCCUCUCACUCCCUAUGCCCGUCAUCCCUCUAUCCCUCUCACUCCCUAUGCCCGUCAUCCCUCUCACUCCCUAUGCCCGUCAUCCCUCUAUCCCUCUCACUCCCUAUGCCCGUCAUCACUCUCUCUCAUCACCCCCUAUGCCCGUCAUCCCUCUCACUCCCUAUGCCUGUCAUCCCUCUAUCCCUCUCACUCCCUAUGCCCGUCAUCCCUCUAUCCCUCUCACUCCCUAUGCCCGUCAUCCCUCUAUCCCUCUCACUCCCUAUGCCCUCUAUCCCUCUCACUCCCUAUGCCCAUCAUCCCUCUCACUCCCUAUUCCCGUCAUCACUCUCUCUCAUCACUCCCUAUGCCCGUCAUCACUCCCUAUGCCCGUCAUCCCUCUAUCCCUCUCACUCCCUAUGCCCGUCAUUCCUCUCACUCCCUAUGCCCGUCAUCACUCUCUCUCAUCACUCCCUAUGCCCGUCAUCACUCUAUCCCUCUCACUCCCUAUGCCCGUCAUCCCUCUAUCCCUCUCACUCCCUAUGCCCGUCAUUCCUCUCACUCCCUAUGCCCGUCAUCCCUCUAUCCCUCUCACUCCCUAUGCCCGUCAUCCCUCUAUCCCUCUCACUCCCUAUGCCCGUCAUCCCUCUCACUCCCUAUGCCCGUCAUCACUCUCUCUCAUCACCCCCUAUGCCCGUCAUCCCUCUAUCCCUCUCACCCCCUAUGCCCGUCAUCCCUCUAUCCCUCUCACUCCCUAUGCCCGUCAUCCCUCUCACUCCCUAUGCCCGUCAUUCCUCUAUCCCUCUCACUCCCUAUGCCCGUCAUCCCUCUAUCCCUCUCACUCCCUAUGCCCGUCAUCCCUCUGUCCCUCACUCCCUAUGCCCGUCAUCCCUCUAUCCCUCACUCCCUAUGCCAAUCAUCCCUCUAUCCCUCUCACUCCCUAUGCCCGUCAUCCCUCUAUCCCUCUCACUCCCUAUGCCUGUCAUCCCUCUCACUCCCUAUGCCUGUCAUCCCUGUAUCCCUCUCACUCCCUAUGCCCGUCAUCCCUCUCACUCCCUAUGCCCGUCAUCCCUCUAUCCCUCUCACCCCCUAUGCCUGUCAUCCCUCUAUCCCUCUCACUCCCUAUGCCCGUCAUCCCUCUAUCCCUCUCACUCCCUAUGCCCGUCAUCCCUCUAUCCCUCACUCCCUAUGCCCGCCAUCCCUCUAUCCCUCUCACUCCCUAUGCCCAUCAUCCCUCUAUCCCUCACUCCCUAUGCCCGUCAUCACUCUUUCCCUCUCACUCCCUAUGCCCAUCAUCCCUCUCACUCCCUAUGCCCGUCAUCCCUCUCACUCCCUAUGCCCGUCAUCCCUCUAUCCCUCUCACUCCCUAUGCCCGUCAUCCCUCUAUCCCUCUCACUCCCUAUGCCCGUCAUCCCUCUAUCCCUCUCACUCCCUAUGCCUGUCAUCCCUCUAUCCCUCUCACUCCCUAUGCCCGUCAUCCCUCUAUCCCUCUCACUCCCUAUGCCCGUCAUUCCUCUCACUCCCUAUGCCCGUCAUCCCUCUAUCCCUCUCACUCCCUAUGCCCGUCAUCCCUCUAUCCCUCUCACUCCCUAUGCCUGUCAUCCCUCUAUCCCUCUCACUCCCUAUGCCCGUCAUCCCUCUCACUCCCUAUGCCCGUCAUCACUCUCUCUCAUCACCCCCUAUGCCCGUCAUCCCUCUAUCCCUCUCACCCCCUAUGCCCGUCAUCCCUCUAUCCCUCUCACUCCCUAUGCCCGUCAUCCCUCUCACUCCCUAUGCCCGUCAUCCCUCUAGCCCUCUCACUCCCUAUCCCUGUCAUCCCUCUAUCCCUCUCACUCCCUAUGCCCGUCAUCCCUCUGUCCCUCACUCCCUAUGCCCGUCAUCCCUCUAUCCCUCACUCCCUAUGCCCAUCAUCCCUCUAUCCCUCUCACUCCCUAUGCCCGUCAUCCCUCUAUCCCUCUCACUCCCUAUGCCCGUCAUCCCUCUAUCCCUCUCACUCCCUAUGCCUGUCAUCCCUGUAUCCCUCUCACUCCCUAUGCCCGUCAUCCCUCUCACUCCCUAUGCCCGUCAUCCCUCUAUCCCUCUCACCCCCUAUGCCUGUCAUCCCUCUAUCCCUCUCACUCCCUAUGCCCGUCAUCCCUCUAUCCCUCUCACUCCCUAUGCCCGUCAUCCCUCACUCCCUAUGCCCGCCAUCCCUCUAUCCCUCUCACUCCCUAUGCCCAUCAUCCCUCUAUCCCUCACUCCCUAUGCCCGUCAUCACUCUAUCCCUCACUCCCUAUGCCCAUCAUCCCUCUCACUCCCUAUGCCCGUCAUCCCUCUCACUCCCUAUGCCCGUCAUCCCUCUAUCCCUCUCACUCCCUAUGCCCGUCAUCCCUUUACCCCUCUCACUCCCUAUGCCUGUCAUCCCUCUAUCCCUCUCACUCCCUAUGCCCGUCAUCCCUCUAUCCCUCUCACUCCCUAUGCCUGUCAUCCCUGUAUCCCUCUCACUCCCUAUGCCCUUCAUCCCUCUAUCCCUCUCACUCCCUAUGCCCGUCAUCCCUCUAUCCCUCUCACUCCCUAUGCCCGUCAUCCCUCUAUCCCUCUCACUCCCUAUGCCCGUAAUCACUCUCUCUCAUCACUCCCUAUGCCCGUCAUCCCUCUAUCCCUUUCACUCCCUAUGCCCUUCAUCCCUCUAUCCCUCUCACUCCCUAUGCCCGUCAUCCCUCUAUCCCUCUCACUCCCUAUGCCCGUCAUCCCUCUAUCCCUCUCACUCCUUAUGCCCGUCAUCCCUCUCACUCCCUUUGCCCAUCAUCCCUCUAUCCCUCUCACCCCCUAUGCCCGUCAUCCCUCUAUCCCUCUCACUCCCUAUGCCCGUCAUCCCUCUAUCCCUCUCACUCCCUAUGCCCGUCAUCCCUCUCACUCCCUAUGCCCGUCAUCCCUCUCACUCCCUAUGCCCGUCAUCCCUCUCACUCCCUAUGCCCGUCAUCACUCUCUCUCAUCACUCCCUAUGCCCGUCAUCCCUCUAUCCCUCUCACUCCCUAUGCCCUCUAUCCCUCUCGCUCCCUAUGCCCGUCAUCCCUCUAUCCCUCUCGCUCCCUAUGCCCGUCAUCCCUCUAUCCCUCUCACUCCCUAUGCCCGUCAUCCCUCUAUCCCUCUCACUCCCUAUGCCCGUCAUCCCUCUAUCCCUCUCACUCCCUAUGCCCGUCAUCCCUCUAUCCCUCUCACUCCCUAUGCCCGUCAUCCCUCUCACUCCAUAUGCCCGUCAUCCCUCUAUCCCUCUCACUCCCUAUGCCCGUCAUCCCUCUAUCCCUCUCACUCCCUAUGCCCGUCAUCCCUCUCACUCCCUAUGCCCGUCAUCCCUCUCACUCCCUAUGCCCGUCAUCCCUCUAUCCCUCUCGCUCCCUAUGCCCGUCAUCCCUCUAUCCCUCUCACUCCCUAUGCCCGUCAUCUCUCUCACUCCCUAUGCCUGUCAUCCCUCUAUCCCUCUCACUCCCUAUGCCCGUCAUCACUCUAUCCCUCUGUUUUUGUCUCCCACCUCCAACUUCGCAGUAUAAGGGAGACGGGAAGUGGUGAGGGUUUAACAAGCCUCUGGAGACAGGAAGUGGUGAGGGUUUAA
Long non-coding RNA from Oncorhynchus mykiss (rainbow trout), 4260 nucleotides. Lineage: Eukaryota; Metazoa; Chordata; Actinopteri; Salmoniformes; Salmonidae. The record is from Ensembl.